CCCAGCAGCCGCGGUAAUUCCAGCUCCAAUAGCGUAUAUUAAAGUUGUUGCAGUUAAAAAGCUCGUAGUUGGAUCUCGGGUCCAGGCUCGCGGUCCGCCUCGCGGCGGUUACUGCCCGUCCUGACCUACCUCCCCGGUGUUCCCUUGGUGCUCUUGACUGAGUGUCUCGGGUGGCCGGAACGUUUACUUUGAAAAAAUUAGAGUGUUCAAAGCAGGCAGCUCGCCUGAAUAAUGGUGCAUGGAAUAAUGGAAUAGGACCUCGGUUCUAUUUUGUUGGCCUUCGGAACUUGAGGUAAUGAUUAAGAGGGACGGACGGGGGCAUCCGUAUUACGGUGUUAGAGGUGAAAUUCUUGGAUCGCCGUAAGACAAACAACUGCGAAAGCUUUUGCCAAGAAUGUUUUCAUUAAUCAAGAACGAAAGUCAAAGGUUCGAAGACAAUCAAAUACCGCAAAUUUUUUUUU
RNAcentral lists this ribosomal RNA (461 nucleotides) under Nuculana pernula. Its description in RNAcentral is "SSU rRNA". It matches the Rfam family "Eukaryotic small subunit ribosomal RNA", at positions 566 to 1033 of the family's 1831-position model. Lineage: Eukaryota; Metazoa; Mollusca; Bivalvia; Nuculanida sp.; Nuculanidae. The record is from RNAcentral.